RNAcentral lists this non-coding RNA (179 nucleotides) under Gavia stellata (red-throated loon). RNAcentral's name for it is "Eukaryotic large subunit ribosomal RNA". It matches the Rfam family "Eukaryotic large subunit ribosomal RNA", at positions 2621 to 2799 of the family's 3401-position model. The record is from Rfam by way of RNAcentral. Lineage: Eukaryota; Metazoa; Chordata; Aves; Gaviiformes; Gaviidae.
UUGGCUGGGGCAGUACACCUGUCAAACUGUAAGGCAGGUCUCCUAAGGUGAGCUCAGGGAGGACGGAAACCUCCCGUGGAGGAGAAGGGCAAAAGCUUGCUUGAUCUUGACUUCCAGUACGAAUACAGACUGUGAAAGCAGGGCCUCAUGAUCCUUCUGACUUGGGUUUUGCCCAAAAC